UAUUGGGCUGUACCUUGGCUUUGUUUGUUUUUCCGAGUCGGGGUAUUACAAAAAAAAGGUUCGGGAGGGAGGUGGGGGGGUUGUUACGUGUGUCAGAAUGCCCUGUGUUGUUGAGUUGUGUUCCGUCAAAGGCUUGUUUGGUUAGUGAACAUUAGUUCGAGUCCCCAGAGAACAUGUGCAUCCGAGGAGGAGACCACAGACGUGCUACUGCUCUGAUUACAUAUCAAUAAAGCACCAUUUAAAAGAGAGAGCGAAGGGAGAGAAGAGAAGGAGGGAGAGAGAGUCGUGCAUGGGUGGAGAGAGAGAGCGAGAUGGAGGCGGAUGGAGAGCAAGGUAAAAAGACGAGGCUUCUCUCGGCAGAAAUCCUCCACGAACGGAACAGACGAUGAUACAAGGACAACAGAGACGUAGAGAGAAAUGAGACCAAACCGAGCGAAGGCAGAAGAAGACGACAGGAACGAGUUAAAAUUCCCUCACUUCAUGAAGAAGUACUGCAGCAGGCAGGCGAUGAGGAUGGAGAAGCCGGCGAACACGCACACGAUCAGCGCCGCGAAGCGCUCGUCGCUGGAGAUCAGGCCCGCCCCUUUGCCCGUCUCCACGGGGCACAGCUCCCCGGACGACGCAGACUCCUGGCGCCGCAGCGUGAACAGAGAGGAGGGGCUCACUGGUCCGCACAGCUCCUGGCACGAGUCCUGGCAGCGGCGGCAGGCGCCCACGCGGAAUCGAUAGUCUGUGUUGCCCUGGAGACCAGAGAUUUGGAACACACCCUCUUCUCCUUUAAAAACCUGCGAGGGGAGGAAAAAAAUAUAAUGUUUCAGAGUUCUGCUCUAAUUGUACUUUUUAUUUUAAAAGUUUUAAAAGUUUCCUGUUUCUUUUAACUUCUCUUCUGUCUUCUUGUGUAUUUCAUUUGAAAUUCAUUUCUAUCCCAAUUUUUAAGCGGGUGGCUAAACGCCCAGUGCUUCAUUGUGUGUGAGGUAAUGGCAGAAAUGCCUGAUUCAAGGAUUCAUUGUCAUAUGCAACGGAAUUCUUAUUUCCCUGUGUCUCUGAAGAAGAAAAACAAAAAAAGGAAUACAGAGAUAAAAGGAGAAUCUAAGCAAUAAAAAAAGAAAUGCACGUUGAAAUCCACUCAUCAUCAUCCAUCCAUACAUACUGAGUUGGGCAGUAAUGACAGCGGUUAAAGGGAAUGUGCAUAAACAACACACCCAUCUUCUUUAUUCUGAUCUCAACUUCACACCUGUAGAGUUAGAGAAGGUGAAAACAAACCCAGCGAGAGACAGAAGUUCACAGAUGUUGUGUUUAGUUUCCCGGGGAAACGGCCUUGAGCCCAUUUUGUUCAUUUCUUCUUCAAAACUCUUGAGACUGUCUCAAAUAACAACAAUCACAUUAUGAUGCAAUGACGAGCUCAAGGACAGAAAAUCCUUUCUACUCUGUUGACAGUUCACCUUCUUUAUUAGCAGCAAGCGACACUGGGAUCGUUUUCACCUUGUGCAACUGUGGUUGUGUCAUCGUGACCGAAUGUAAAUCUGGAGACAGACUGUAGAGGUGGUUAUGAGUACUUUGGAAAUCAGGCGUAAUAAAAUACGCCCGUUUGUCUGCCUGCGGACAGAUUGUCACAACAACAUCACAACUUUUCAAAAUACAUUGAAAACACAGCCUCCAUUUUGUUCUGUAACUGCGAAAGAACAAGUGCAACAAUGUUGUGGUUCCAAACUUGUUCAAGAGAAAAAAAGGUGACGGAUGUAUUCCUUUUUUUUUUAGGGAUAAAUAUGAAACUUAUUGUUUGAGAGCUUGGAAUUGAUGAAACUAAGUUUUGAGGCUUUGCCUUUUUUGUUUUGUGAAAAAAAUAUAAUCUCUGCAAACAGUGUUUUGUAUUUUUUGUUUUCCAAACUGCAGCAUUCAAAUUCAAAUUUGUCUCUGUUGUCCAAGUGCAAUUUGUUUUCCAGGUGCUGAUAUAAAACCUGGUGCAAAAAAAAACUUCGAGUUCUGAAUUGUCAAACCUUUGUUUUGAAACUUUGCAGACCUGCACGAUUAUUACAGACGGCUUAAUUCUGAGUUGAGUUAAGAGCCAAUUUCUUAGAGA
Long non-coding RNA from Hippoglossus stenolepis (Pacific halibut), 2080 nucleotides. RefSeq lists it as uncharacterized. NCBI's taxonomy places the organism in Eukaryota, Metazoa, Chordata, Actinopteri, Pleuronectiformes, Pleuronectidae. The record is from RefSeq and is a predicted model, not a curated record. The transcript has 3 exons.